Molecule: transfer RNA, 71 nt
Filed under: Stegodyphus mimosarum
Lineage: Eukaryota; Metazoa; Arthropoda; Arachnida; Araneae; Eresidae
Rfam family: tRNA
About the family: Transfer RNA (tRNA) molecules are approximately 80 nucleotides in length.
Source: Rfam by way of RNAcentral
GCCUUCGUGGUGUAACGGUGACACACUUGGCCUGUAUUCGAGAUGUCCAGGUUCAAAUCGCGGUGAGGGCA